CAUUUUAGCCAUUGACAGAUGUAUUUUCAAACCAAGGCAUGCUCUGUCAGAAGACUACAAAAAUAUUACUGCUUCAGGAAACCAUAUCAGUAACCAUAUGAUAUUUAAAAUCUUGAGAUCAAUUGUGUCAAGUAAAACAAAUCAUGCCAGAUAAAAAUUAUGAAUUUUUCCAUAAAAGCAUCAUCUUCAGGAAGGACCUCAGGAUCCUUCCUGAGGAUGGUAUAACUUUGCGGCAGCCCUCCCAGAAAGACUCCUGUGUUAUCUCCAAUAACAGUACUACCAUUCAGGAUGGCAGAGGAACCUAGAGAAGAGGAGAUGAGAAAUACACCUUCACCAGGAUACUCUAGUUUUACUAGCUCAGCAAAUAAUAAAAUCCUUCACCAGUC
RNAcentral lists this non-coding RNA (386 nucleotides) under Pan troglodytes (chimpanzee). The record is from RNAcentral. Lineage: Eukaryota; Metazoa; Chordata; Mammalia; Primates; Hominidae.